Non-coding RNA from Paralichthys olivaceus (Japanese flounder), 152 nucleotides. The record is from RefSeq and is a predicted model, not a curated record. NCBI's taxonomy places the organism in Eukaryota, Metazoa, Chordata, Actinopteri, Pleuronectiformes, Paralichthyidae.
UUCCACACAUCCCGGUCCGCAAACACCUGGCCGUCCAAGGUGCAGCUACCGCCCGCGCCUGAGGGGGCGACAGAGAGCAGAGGGGCAGAUCUCAGCAGCCGUCCACCCACGGAGAGAAAAUCCACUUUCAAAAACCAGUGAAAAAAAAAAAA